GACGAACGCUGGCGGCGUGCUUAACACAUGCAAGUCGAACGGUAAGGCCCUUCGGGGUACACGAGUGGCGAACGGGUGAGUAACACGUGGGUGAUCUGCCCUGCACUUCGGGAUAAGCCUGGGAAACUGGGUCUAAUACCGGUUAGGACUACUGCCUGCAUGGGUGGUGGUGGAAAGCUUUUGCGGUGUGGGAUGGGCCCGAGGCCUAUCAGCUUGUGGGUGGGGUGAUGGCCUAGCAAGGCGACGACGGGUAGCCGGCCUGAGAGGGUGACCGGCCACACUGGGACUGAGAUACGGCCCAGACUCCUACGGGGCGCAGCAGUGGGGAAUAUUGCACAAUGGGCGCAAGCCUGAUGCAGCGACGCCGCGUGAGGGAUGACGGCCUUCGGGUUGUAAACCUCUUUCAGCACCGACGAAGCGCAAGUGACGGUAGGUGCAGAAGAAGGACCGGCCAACUACGUGCCAGCCGCCGCCGUAA
This 478-nucleotide ribosomal RNA is filed under the name uncultured bacterium. RNAcentral's name for it is "partial 16S ribosomal RNA". It matches the Rfam family "Bacterial small subunit ribosomal RNA", at positions 28 to 523 of the family's 1533-position model. The record is from RNAcentral.